Molecule: non-coding RNA, 741 nt
Organism: Nicotiana tabacum (common tobacco)
Lineage: Eukaryota; Viridiplantae; Streptophyta; Magnoliopsida; Solanales; Solanaceae
Source: RefSeq, a predicted model, not a curated record
CAUCUUCUUCAACAACAACCAACCACUCAUAACCCAGCACCAAAAGCUGUCGCCGAGCUCCAUCACUGCCAUAGCAGCCCACCCCCGCACCAGCCCAUCGCCAGACCUUCCGCUAGCGACUACCAUUGAAACCGGCGAGCACACACACACACACUGCUACCGUUCUGCCCUCUACUGCCUUUAUAUCGUCGGAGUCACAUCGUCGACGAUGAACGAAUAGAAAACAGCCCAUUGUUUCAUCACCAUUGUUCCCAUGAGUUUUACUUCCAUGUUGGAUGGGUGUAGAUCUUUCAAGACCUGGAUUUUGUGACGUCUUGUGUCGAGUUUGGCCGGAGGUAGUUCUUUGGCAGUUCUUCGUGUGUGUCGCGUCGACUGUUGCUCCAGUGUCUCCAUUGUUGUGGUAGUGGCGUCAUUUAGGUUCAAGGGUGCCGACGAGGUUUUCCGGCCAAGUUCCAGCUUUAGCUCUUAUUCACAUAUUAUUACUACAAUCGGAGAGGACAUCAUUUUAAGGUGUGGAUUUAUUUAUCGGAGUUGGAGCAUGACGGAGCCCUAGGACAUCUAGUCAGGAUCACUGCAUUCAGAAGUUGCUCGAGAAGUCAUUUCAUAUUUUUGACUCAAUUGUUCAUGUUUUACUUUCUAGUCAUGUAUAGUAGUAUUCGGUCUUUUAGGUGAGGUUAGAGUUUGUAAUAGUCUAGUUAAGUUUGUCUAGUCUUUUAUUAUUGUAUUCCUUAUUUGGUAUUU